CCCCUCUCCCUUCUUUUGAUGAGUCCUUUUCUCUGCACAGAGCCUCUGUUGAAGUUAGUGGGAGUUGUUCUUGUAGAACACAUGGGAUUCCAAUACCUGGCAGAGUUCCAGAGUCUUGUUGCCAUGGUAACUCACUUUUUUUUUUUUCCCUCUCUGAAAUUUUGCCAGAUCCUAAAGAUCUUUGUGGACAAUCUCUUUGCCAUCGUCUUGCUAAAGCAGGCCACGGCUGUGCGCUGUUUGGACAUGAGUGCCUCCCGUAAGAAGCUGGCCGUGGUGGAUGAAAAUGACAUGUGCCUGGUGUAUGACAUCCAUACCAAAGAGUUGCUUUUUCAGGUGAAAUCCCAGAGUUUCCAUGACAUGGUCCUUUGACUUCUUUUUUAGCUUCCUAGUUCCUGCAGGAGGUGCUCCGCUCUGGCUCCCAGGCAGAUCUCUGGGAGGAGUGGUGACAUGGAGGGGUAUAGGCUUUGAGCAGGGGUGCAGAGCCCAAGUGGCCCCAGGGCACAGCCCACCCCCUCCCACACAUGAGCUGUAGGAGCUGGAAAAAGUCUCUUUGAACUUUGGUUUCCUCACAGAUAAGAUGAGCAAGUAACACUUUUCUUUCUGUGAACAGUAAAGGAAUAAUAAUAAAUAUCAGUGGGGCAUGUGAUAGGGUCUCAGUGUAUUAUUCAAUGAGAUGAUGAUUCUUUUGCAAAAGGGCUUCUCACCUAUUGGAGAUAUGCCUGUAUCUAUGAGUGACCUAAGACGUAGUAAAGAAAUAGGACAAGUUUUGUCAUCUGAAAGAAGGGAAGACAUGGGGGAAGCCCUCCCUUCUAUUUAUUUCACAAAGAUGCUAUAAGAGCCAGCAAAAUGUGAACUGUUUGGGGGCAUAGGCAGUUUACACACCAUUUGGUCCUGUGGCUGGUGGAAGUGUGUCACUGGAGAAGAGAGCCCAAAGGCUUCAUGCCCACCACCUGGCUGGCUUUCUGCCAGACUAAGUGCCACUCUUUGCCUGUAUAGGGCUUUAUAAGAGGUCAGGGCCCAUUUGCCUGAAGCAAGCUUCCCCUAAAGCUGACUGGCUUCUUCAGCCACAAGUCUCCCAGUGUUAAUUGGCAGAUUGAGGUCCCCUUCUCGGGGCUCUUCUUUGUCCCUGGGAGCAGAAUCAGCAGGACAGAGGGAUGUUAGAGUGUAGGGAGCUGCCUCAGUCAGUUAGAAGGGGCCACCUGGCUACUGCUAGCCCAAGGUGGUUCCAGUAGAUAACAACUCACUUAUAUCGCUGUGGAGGCAGAGUGGUUAAGGGGAAAGAAAGAGCAUAGGCUUUGUCUUCAGACAGACUUGGGCUCCAGUCCUACCCUCACCACUUACAGUGUGAUCUCAAGCAAGUUAGCACAGUUCAUUGAACCUGAAUUUUUUAUUCUCUCUGAAAUUGAACUUGUAAUUGCUUCCUCACAGAAUUGCUACAGUACUAAACAAGAGACUACAGUAAGUAGCUCAGUGCCUUACAAAACAUGGCCCUAAAUGUUACUUUUCCUCUCCUCAGCCUCAACACUACCUCCUGUAGGUAGGUUAGCAGGCCUCCAGUUAUGAAUCUGUGUCUGAGCCUAGAACCAUAUAGGAAUGGAAGGGUGUGUGUCCUUCCCCAUCUCCACUGAAGGUUCUGUAGUAGCUAGGGAGGGUAAUUCUCAGACCUUGUCAGAAGAUAUAAGCAUUCCCAACUAUCUUUUUUUUUCUCUCCACUGCCCCUGCCCCCUGAAAAUUAAAACAGCUCUAUUGUUUUUGCUUAGUAUAAAAGUAAUCCAUGCUCAUUAUAAAAGAUUCAGACAUUGUAAGAGAUUCUAGGCAGAAAGUUAUGAACAUCUGCUCCCUGGGGCUCCAUUGCUAAGCAGAAAACUUGUAGGAGAGGGAGUGCCCCCCAGGGUGACUGUAUUUCUACAGCAUGAGAAUUGUAAAUGCAGAGAUGAUAUAUUAUUUUAUAAUGUAAAAAUAACAGUUUUUUUCCUUAUUAUAAAAAAUAAUAGAUGUUUAUGAUCAAAAGAGAAUUUCAAGCAAACGAAAAACAUAAAAAAUGAAAAAGCACCCACAAUUCCACCCACCCCAAAACAAUCACUGUUAAUUCUUUGAAACAUAUCCUUUUAUUUAUUUUUGUUUGCUUGUUUUAUUUUUGUUUUUACUUAGAGUUAGAGAGCACACACACACUGGAAAGGGGCAGGGAGAGGGAGAGAGAGAAUCUUAAGCAGGUGCCACACUCAGUGUAGAGCCCAAUGCAAGGCUCUAUCUCAUGACCACAGGAUCAUGACUGUGAGAUCAUGACCUGAGCUGAAGUCAAGAGUCAGGCACUCAACCAAUUGAGUCACCCAGGCACCCUUGCUUGUUUGUUUUAUUUUAGAGAGAGAGAAAGCGGGUGCACAUAUGGGUUGGGGAGAGGGAGAGAGGGAGAGAGGGAGAGAGGGAGAGGGAGAGGGAGAGAGAGAGAGAGAGAGAGAGAGAGAACCCCAAGCAGGCUCCAUGCUUAGCACGGAGCCUGACGCAGGGCUCAAUCCCAUGACCGUGGAAUCAUGACAUGAGCUGAAAUCAAGAGUCCGAUGCUUAACUGACUGAGCCACCCAGGAGCCCUGGAACGUAUCCCUUUAAAUCUUCUGUGUAUAGCUGUGUGUACUCAUUCUGUAACAGAAGUAAAGCCACUUUGCUCAUUCUCUCAGUAGGUAAUGAUUAAUAUUUGGGAUAAUAAUACUUUUUUUCAAAAGUAAUGCUUGUUUAUUAAAAAAAAUCCAACAUAAACAAGUGCAUAGAGGCAUAGAGGAUUUUGCUUCUAUGCUUCUAUCCUUUUCUUCUGCUUCCCUUUUCCUCCCUUUUCCCCCAUCCCACUCUUAGCAAUUUAGUUUGAUUCAGGCUUUAAAAAGUGCCUAGCUGAAUGCAGGAAUGGUGGCAAAGGUCAGGGUGGUUGUCAAAGGAUCCUUACUAUUCCUGUUCCUCAGGAGCCAAAUGCCAACAGUGUGGCCUGGAACACCCAGUGUGAGGACAUGCUCUGCUUCUCGGGAGGAGGCUACCUUAACAUCAAAGCCAGCACCUUCCCUGUGCACCAGCAGAAGCUACAGGGCUUUGUGGUUGGUUACCAUGGCUCCAAGAUCUUCUGCCUCCAUGUCUUCUCCAUGUCGGCCGUGGAGGUGCCGCAGGUAACCAGGGUGCUUGUCAGCUCUCAGCUGUGGCAGGGCAGACAAGACCCAGGAAGCCAGGCUAUGCAUUUGUGUAUCGGGUGGGGGAUGGAUGGUGAGGAGAGAGGGAAGAGAGAGGAGUUGCAGUUAUGAUGUCAUGGAAGGUACUCUGGACGAGAACCUGAAACUCUGUCUCUACCUUAUACAACCUGUGUG
This 3344-nucleotide long non-coding RNA is filed under the name Lynx pardinus (Iberian lynx). The record is from RNAcentral. Lineage: Eukaryota; Metazoa; Chordata; Mammalia; Carnivora; Felidae.